Molecule: ribosomal RNA, 871 nt
Filed under: Septoria matthiolae
Lineage: Eukaryota; Fungi; Ascomycota; Dothideomycetes; Mycosphaerellales; Mycosphaerellaceae
Description: eukaryotic LSU rRNA
Rfam family: Eukaryotic large subunit ribosomal RNA
Source: RNAcentral
CAAUAAGCGGAGGAAAAGAAACACAACAGGGAUUGCCCUAGUAACGGCGAGUGAAGCGGCAACAGCUCAAAUUUGAAAUCUGGCGUAAGCCCGAGUUGUAAUUUGUAGAGGAUGCUUCUGGGUAGCGACCGAUCUAAGUUCCUUGGAACAGGACGUCAUAGAGGGUGAGAAUCCCGUAUGUGACCGGCCCGCACCCUUUACGUAGCUCCUUCGACGAGUCGAGUUGUUUGGGAAUGCAGCUCUAAAUGGGAGGUAAAUUUCUUCUAAAGCUAAAUACCGGCCAGAGACCGAUAGCGCACAAGUAGAGUGAUCGAAAGAUGAAAAGUACUUUGGAAAGAGAGUUAAAAAGCACGUGAAAUUGUUGAAAGGGAAGCGCCUGCAACCAGACUUCGUGGCAGUGUUCCGCCGGUCUUCUGACCGGUUUAUUCUCUGUCGCGAGGCCAUCAUCGUCUAGGCCCGCCGGAUAAGACCUUAGGAAUGUAGCUCACCUUCGGGGGAGUGUUAUAGCUUAUGGUGAUGCGGCGAGGCUUGGGCGAGGUCCGCGCUUCGGCAAGGAUGAUGGCGUAAUGGUUGUCGGCGGCCCGUCUUGAAACACGGACCAAGGAGUCUAACAUCUAUGCGAGUGUUCGGGUGUCAAACCCCUACGCGUAAUGAAAGUGAACGGAGGUGGGAACCGCAAGGUGCACCAUCGACCGAUCCUGAUGUCCUCGGAUGGAUUUGAGUAAGAGCAUAGCUGUUGGGACCCGAAAGAUGGUGAACUAUGCCUGAAUAGGGUGAAGCCAGAGGAAACUCUGGUGGAGGCUCGCAGCGGUUCUGACGUGCAAAUCGAUCGUCAAAUUUGGGUAUAGGGGCGAAAGACUAAUCGAACCAU